AUGCAACGCGAAGAACCUUACCUGGUCUUGACAUCCCGGAGACCCUUAGGAAACUAGGGGGUGGCUUCCAUCUGGAAGAAUCUGGAGACAGGUGCUGCAUGGCUGUCGUCAGCUCGUGUCGUGAGAUGUUGGGUUAAGUCCCGCAACGAGCGCAACCCUUGCCUUUAGUUGCCAGCAGUUCGGCUGGGCACUCUAAAGGGACUGCCGGGUGUUAAACCGGAGGAAGGUGGGGAUGACGUCAAGUCCUCAUGGCCUUUAUGACCAGGGCUACACACGUACUACAAUGGCCGAUACAAAGGGCAGCGACACUGCGAGGUGAAGCCAAUCCCGUAAAAUCGGUCUCAGUCCGGAUUGGAGUCUGCAACUCGACUCCAUGAAGUUGGAAUCGCUAGUAAUCGUGGAUCAGCAUGCCACGGUGAAUACGUUCCCGGGCCUU
This 436-nucleotide ribosomal RNA is filed under the name uncultured Desulfobulbus sp. RNAcentral's name for it is "bacterial SSU rRNA". It matches the Rfam family "Bacterial small subunit ribosomal RNA", at positions 954 to 1382 of the family's 1533-position model. The record is from RNAcentral. Lineage: Bacteria; Pseudomonadati; Thermodesulfobacteriota; Desulfobulbia; Desulfobulbales; Desulfobulbaceae.